UAGGGAAUCUUCGGCAAUGGGGGCAACCCUGACCGAGCAACGCCGCGUGAGUGAAGAAGGUUUUCGGAUCGUAAAGCUCUGUUGUAAGUCAAGAACGAGUGUGAGAGUGGAAAGUUCACACUGUGACGGUAGCCUACCAGAAAGGGACGGCUAACUACGUGCCAGCAGCCGCGGUAAUACGUAGGUCCCGAGCGUUGUCCGGAUUUAUUGGGCGUAAAGCGAGCGCAGGCGGUUUGAUAAGUCUGAAGUUAAAGGCUGUGGCUCAACCAUAGUUCGCUUUGGAAACUGUCAAACUUGAGUGCAGAAGGGGAGAGUGGAAUUCCAUGUGUAGCGGUGAAAUGCGUAGAUAUAUGGAGGAACACCGGUGGCGAAAGCGGCUCUCUGGUCUGUAACUGACGCUGAGGCUCGAAAGCGUGGGGAGCGAACAGGAUUAGAUACCCUGGUAGCCCACGCCGUAAACGAUGAGUGCUAGGUGUUGGAUCCUUUCCGGGAUUCAGUGCCGCAGCUAACGCAUUAAGCACUCCGCCUGGGGAGUACGACCGCAAGGUU
Molecule: ribosomal RNA, 549 nt
Filed under: uncultured bacterium
Lineage: Bacteria
Description: bacterial SSU rRNA
Rfam family: Bacterial small subunit ribosomal RNA
Source: RNAcentral